This 89-nucleotide small nucleolar RNA is filed under the name Rasamsonia emersonii CBS 393.64. RNAcentral's name for it is "Small nucleolar RNA snR73". It matches the Rfam family "Small nucleolar RNA snR73". The record is from Rfam by way of RNAcentral. Lineage: Eukaryota; Fungi; Ascomycota; Eurotiomycetes; Eurotiales; Trichocomaceae.
UUGUAUGAUGAUUUACUUCAUUUUUUAUCACGACGGUCAACAUAGUUUUACAUUGAUGACCACCGCCUGUGACAGGGCUUUAUCUGAUG